This 253-nucleotide ribosomal RNA is filed under the name uncultured bacterium. Its description in RNAcentral is "partial 16S ribosomal RNA". It matches the Rfam family "Bacterial small subunit ribosomal RNA", at positions 524 to 777 of the family's 1533-position model. The record is from RNAcentral.
UACGAAGGGGGCUAGCGUUGUUCGGAAUUACUGGGCGUAAGGGACGGCGUAGCGGUGUGUCAAGUCAGGCGUGAAGCCCCGGGCUCAACCUGGGAACAGCGCUUGAGACUGGCACGCUCGAGUUCGGGAGAGGAUGGUGGAAUUCCCAGUGUAGAGGUGAAAUUCGUAGAUAUUGGGAAGAACACCGAUGGCGAAGGCAGCCAUCUGGACCGACACUGACGCUGAGGCGCGAAAGCGUGGGGAGCAAACAGGG